GCAACGGCGUUGCUUCGUCCGCUUGACCUCUCGGUCGAGGGUCACUACGGUUCUAACACGAAGGCGAGGAUCUCGACGAGUAGACUUACAAGAGUCCUAACGGAAAGGUAUGGUUUCACGAUCAAGACGCGAAGAAUAGAAUGUACACUACUGAGUUCGCGGAGUAGGUCUAGUUUGCGAGAUACAGGACUGAUUCUGGUAAGAAUCUCGGAGGUCCUGUAUAUCUUGGAUUUAGCUUUCGACGCUUUACGAAGCGUAUUAAGCCGUUCCCGAGUGAGACUUCCUAAAGAAUUUGGUCUUUCACUUCGAAUCUCCAAAGUUUCCUUUUCUUGUUUAACUUCCCAGUCAAGGGCCACUCCUUGAUGGGUCAAGGUCGUAAAGGUUUCUGUACUUUGUGAGGGGUUCUGAAUGAACUAAGACAGUAGGUCUGUAAGACCUAGAAUUUGGCGAAUUUCUGUCGGCUUCUCUGGUGUCGACAAAUUCUCAACGGUUUUGACAAAUUGCAAGAGUACUCAAAAUUUCC
RNAcentral lists this long non-coding RNA (523 nucleotides) under Lactuca sativa (garden lettuce). RNAcentral describes it as "long non-coding RNA (LSAT_LNC002835)". Lineage: Eukaryota; Viridiplantae; Streptophyta; Magnoliopsida; Asterales; Asteraceae. The record is from RNAcentral.